Molecule: ribosomal RNA, 253 nt
Filed under: uncultured bacterium
Lineage: Bacteria
Description: partial 16S ribosomal RNA
Rfam family: Bacterial small subunit ribosomal RNA
Source: RNAcentral
UACAGAGGUCUCAAGCGUUGUUCGGAUUUAUUGGGCGUAAAGGGCGCGUAGGCGGCGGGGUAAGUCGGGUGUGAAAUCUCAGGGCUCAACCCUGAAACUGCAUUUGAUACUGCUCUGCUUGAGGACUGGAGAGGAGACUGGAAUUCACGGUGUAGCAGUGAAAUGCGUAGAUAUCGUGAGGAAGACCAGUGGCGAAGGCGGGUCUCUGGGCAGUAACCGACGCUGAGGAGCGAAAGCGUGGGUAGCGAACAGG